UGUGAUCGAGGAGAAAUUUUCCUCUCCUGAUGGAAUUAAACGACAUCCAACUGAUUAAAAUUUCCAACAAUUUUUUUCGACAGCAUCCAAAAUCGUCUCACCCUCGCAUCGUUUUAUUUAAACGUAGUAGCUAAAUAUAUUGUUCGUACAUUGUUUACAAUCUCCUUAGAUCACUACAAUAUUUAAAUCGUGCAUCGCGUAACCAAUCGGUGCCAAGAUUUGUAAAUUGGGAAAUUUAGUAAGAGACGAGUUGUAGAAAUUUAAUACGAAAUCACUCAAAUUAACUCUCUGCAUCUUGAAGAAUACCGGUAGGAAAGGGUUUUAAAUUAAAUCCUGGUGCCGGAUGCUACGACUAUGGCUGGCGCCAUAUCAAAAGGCACAGUUGCUUCUCACGCCAAGAGAAAACAGUUUCCAAAUUUUCUAUGAUGCUAGAAUCUAUGACGACAAUCAGGAUUAUGGCAACUAAAGUUGUUUACUUGUGGAAAAAUACGCUUCUUGCAUAUAACUGUAUUAAUAGUAAUAAUAAUAAUAUGAUAAACAAGUAGAGGGGCAUGCUAAGAUAAAAUAAGACUACGUCAACUUGUUUUAUUUCUUAUUUAAAAUGUUGUACAUCAUUUUUUAUUUUUUUUUUCUUUUAUUUCCUCUUUAUGAUUUUACAAUUUAAAUUUAGAAAUGCAACAUAUGGACUAAAUGAAAGUCCUUUAAAGGUGCCUGUUAUAAAUACAUGUGAUUACAUUCGCACCUAACCAUGAUACGAUUCCUAUCUUUAUCCAUAAGAUUUAUUAUACUUAUCCACGUCAAUUUGUCUACAUAAUUCACCAGAAUAUUACAUUUUCCCGCCUCCAAAAUUCCAAUUCAAUUCCAACAGCCAUCCCCCGUCAAUCGAUCUAAAAUUAGAUUCUGAAUUUUAAAUCAAGAGCUUUUAAUUUUGAAUCUUCUGGAAUCCUUUAUCCUGAACUUUUAUAAUUUCAACCAAAAACUGGCCAAAGGAAAUGAAAUUCCCCUUCCAAGAAGAAUGCUCUAUACAAUUUUUAAGAAUGCCGAAACCUAAAAAUUCGUCUAAAUGAGGGACCAAUAAAUGAUGGUUUUAAAAUUUGUGGAAUCUCUUACAACGAAAUUUCAAAACCUAACCUAAGCCACAACCAAAGAAAAUCUCCUUGCAGAGAAUCCUCUAUAGAAUUCUAUACGACACCAAAUCUAAAAAAUUCUUUCAAACGAAAUAUUUUCUGCGUCAAAUUUUCUGCAAUCUGUCUACUCUAAAAUUCGUGAUUCUAACCUAAACCAUAGCGAAGAAUAAUUAAGUUGCGCUUGCGAGGAAUGCUGUAUACAUUUUUAUAAUACAAGUCGACUAGCGCGCGCGGGCUUUUUCAAAUUUCAAAUUUCGCAUUCUAAGCUAAAGAUUAAGUUCUAAUUAAUUUCUAUCGUUCGAGAAGUCCUGUAAAAUUAAUACGUAGAACUUCACCACCAAAGACACCAAAUCGUUC
This 1484-nucleotide unclassified non-coding RNA is filed under the name Bombus terrestris (buff-tailed bumblebee). Its description in RNAcentral is "misc RNA ENSBTSG00005032217.1". The record is from RNAcentral. Lineage: Eukaryota; Metazoa; Arthropoda; Insecta; Hymenoptera; Apidae.